AUGGUAUGAUGUGGACAUUAUCUCUCCAACUCCUUCCAUCUCAUCCAAGACUCAUAAAGAGUUUCACCUUCUCUAGGCCAAAAAGCAGUCUUUUGAUUCCUUAACUCU
Molecule: small nucleolar RNA, 108 nt
Organism: Hevea brasiliensis (rubber tree)
Lineage: Eukaryota; Viridiplantae; Streptophyta; Magnoliopsida; Malpighiales; Euphorbiaceae
Source: RefSeq, a predicted model, not a curated record